GAUGAAGAACGUAGCGAAAUGCGAUAAGUAGUGUGAAUUGCAGAAUUCAGUGAAUCAUCGAAUCUUUGAACGCACAUUGCCCCCCUUGGUAUCCCGAGGGGCAUGCCUGUUCGAGCGUCAUUUCACCACUCAAGCCUGGCUUGGUGUUGGGCGACGUCCCCUUUGGGGACGCGCCUCGAAACGCUCGGCGGCGUGGCACCGGCUUUAAGCGUAGCAGAAUCUUUCGCUUUGGAAGUCGGGGCCCCGUCUGCCGGAAGACCUACUCGCAAGGUUGACCUCGGAUCAGGCAGGGAUACCCGCUGAACUUAAGCAUAUCAAUAAGCGGAGGA
RNAcentral lists this unclassified non-coding RNA (329 nucleotides) under soil metagenome. RNAcentral's name for it is "partial contains 5.8S ribosomal RNA, internal transcribed spacer 2, and large subunit ribosomal RNA". The stretch from base 1 to 120 matches the Rfam family "5.8S ribosomal RNA", at positions 35 to 154 of the family's 154-position model. The record is from RNAcentral.